UCCGGUUUGUCACCGGCAGUCUUCUAUGAGUCCCCGGCCGAACCGCUGGCAACAUAGAACGGGGGUUGCGCUCGUUGCGGGACUUAACCCAACACCUCACGGCACGAGCUGACGACAGCCAUGCACCACCUGUGAAGGUGCCCCGAAGGGAGACCGUGUUUCCACGGCUGUCACCUACAUGUCAAGCCCAGGUAAGGUUCUUCGCGUUGCGUCGAAUUGAACCACAUGCUCCGCUGCUUGUGCGGGUCCCCGUCAAUUCCUUUGAGUUUUAGCCUUGCGGCCGUACUCCCCAGGCGGGGCACUUAAUGCGUUAGCUGCGGCACCCAGGGGGUCAAUACCCCGGACACCUAGUGCCCAUCGUUUACAGCGUGGACUAC
Molecule: unclassified non-coding RNA, 377 nt
Filed under: uncultured Thermoleophilia bacterium
Lineage: Bacteria; Bacillati; Actinomycetota; Thermoleophilia
Description: contains 16S-23S intergenic spacer region
Source: RNAcentral